Molecule: long non-coding RNA, 1479 nt
Organism: Scylla paramamosain (green mud crab)
Lineage: Eukaryota; Metazoa; Arthropoda; Malacostraca; Decapoda; Portunidae
Exons: 2
Source: RefSeq, a predicted model, not a curated record
UUGAGCAACGCCCUCCCAAGAAAGGAAAUUCAUUGCGGAAAAGCGAGUACUGCAUUAUUGUUAUUUUUGACGUGCAGUGAGCCAUAAAUCUUGCGCACAGACGUGGUGGCGGUGGUGGAGUAAUCAUCUACCUACUACUAGGAACGUCGUGGACUCUCGGGGCUCUGCUGAGCUGAGGUGCACUGGAACCUCUGGGCAGCCAGUUACCUCUAACGCACAGAAGGGAUCGGUUGUCCGCCGCGCGCGUCCUUCACCUGUAGUGCUAGUGUUACUGUAUAGUGGUGUUAUUAUCUGAAUAUAUACUGACUAGCUACUCAACACAGCAUCGUGAAAAGCCAGCCUACGUGUUUUUAGAGUCAUUAUAAUUUUCAUCUAGAUCCGACGGGACGCAGAAAGACUGACAAAGAGAGGGAAGGGCAGCGGGAAACAGAAGGCGAUCCAAUCCAACGAACAGUGAAUGAAAAAUGGAUAGAUAGAUAUAGACAUGUAGAGAGAAAGAGGAAAAAAAAACAUGAAAACGUAAAUAAGUGAAUGAAUGAAUAAAUGAAAUGAAAAGGAAAAAGUAAAGAAUACGAAUAUAGAACACUAAAAAAAAAAAAAAAAAACAACCGAUGUGAAUAUUGACUGAAGAAUUAAAAAAGAAAAAAAAAAAAGGAACUGAAAGAGAAGUGGCUAUAAAAUCGACAGAAUUGAAGGUGAAUGAAAUCUUUGAAGGGAAUAUAUGUAACAUCAAGGGUUUAAUGACGGCUGGCGCCCACCGUCGCUGCAGGUUUUUGGUCGGGGAGUUCCUGUGAUUGCUGCUCUCACUCGCUCACUCGAAGUUCCUGCGCCACUGAACCGGAAAGGAAAAGUUUGAUUAGUAGUCUGAGUGAAGGUGCUCAGAGAAAAAAAGUGAGAGUUGAAGGGAGGAGGAGGAGGACGACGAGAAGGAGAGACGCUGACGGUAAAGAUGAUGUAAAAGGAUGUGAAAAUAUUUGUGCUGCAAGGAAAAUUGUUGAAAUAUUGAAAUAUGGUUUAUAUAUACAUACUGAAAUGAAUAACUGUCGACGUGUGCGAGUGUAGGGAAAUGGAGUGUGCGAAGUGAUUCUGUUUAUUCAGUGAAGUGAAAAUUGUCAACAUUUACGUGUUUUUAAAUGAAAUGGCAGCAUGCAAGGCAAAAAAAAUGUGUAUGAAAGCGUUUGAAUGACAAUUGUGAACAUGCUUUUAGAGUGACGCUGUACAUGCAGUGAAUCGACUGACAGAAAAUUGUGAACACACUGACGCACACUGAAAGAAAGGAAACUGUAAAUAACCUGAGAGAUAAAGAAUAUGAAAAAAAAGUGAAUGUGCGGAAAUAAACUCCGUGGAAAACUGAAUGUGCGAAAGGAAAAAGUUAUUAGAAUACUCCAAAAAUACACUGAAAGGAAAAUUGAAAGCACAGUAAAGUGAAGGCAGUAAAUAUACUGAAAUGAAUGCAAGGAAGAUGGAGGACCGCGUCAC